GUUCAGAUGGCCGAGCGGUUAAGGCGUUGGACUGCUAAUCCAAUUCCCUCUGGGAGCGUGAGUUCAAAUCUCACUCUGAACG
Molecule: transfer RNA, 82 nt
Filed under: Aphidius gifuensis
Lineage: Eukaryota; Metazoa; Arthropoda; Insecta; Hymenoptera; Braconidae
Description: tRNA-Ser
Rfam family: tRNA
About the family: Transfer RNA (tRNA) molecules are approximately 80 nucleotides in length. Their secondary structure includes four short double-helical elements and three loops (D, anti-codon, and T loops). Further hydrogen bonds mediate the characteristic L-shaped molecular structure. tRNAs have two regions of fundamental functional importance: the anti-codon, which is responsible for specific mRNA codon recognition, and the 3' end, to which the tRNAs corresponding amino acid is attached (by aminoacyl-tRNA synthetases). tRNAs cope with the degeneracy of the genetic code in two manners: having more than one tRNA (with a specific anti-codon) for a particular amino acid; and 'wobble' base-pairing, i.e. permitting non-standard base-pairing at the 3rd anti-codon position.
Source: Rfam by way of RNAcentral